RNAcentral lists this long non-coding RNA (222 nucleotides) under Elaeis guineensis (African oil palm). Its description in RNAcentral is "long non-coding RNA (EGUI_LNC033476)". Lineage: Eukaryota; Viridiplantae; Streptophyta; Magnoliopsida; Arecales; Arecaceae. The record is from RNAcentral.
UUUCAUAUCUUUCAGUCGGAGAAUGUCUUUCUAAUCGAUGACUUCGACCCGACUAUGCUCAUUAGGACUUGUCCUUGGAUUUCUUCAAGGGAAAGGAAAGCCCUAAGGUAGAGAAGAAGAAAUAAAGAAAAAUUGAUUUUUUUCAUCCGUGAAUGGAUGAAGGAAGGCUAGAAAUGAAGGACAGACCUUUUCUCGGGUUGAAGAACCACCAACCCUUGGGUG